RNAcentral lists this ribosomal RNA (752 nucleotides) under Anoplostoma amphicystum. Its description in RNAcentral is "SSU rRNA". It matches the Rfam family "Eukaryotic small subunit ribosomal RNA", at positions 184 to 941 of the family's 1831-position model. Lineage: Eukaryota; Metazoa; Nematoda; Enoplea; Enoplida; Anoplostomatidae. The record is from RNAcentral.
GGACCUACGGAAUGGAUGCAGUUAUUAGAAUAAACCAAGCAGGCUUGGCCUGCCAUUUGGUGAAUCUGAAUAACCCAGUUGAUCGCAUGGUCUUCGUACCGGCGACGUAUCCUUCAAAUGUCUGCCUUAUCAACCGUCGAUGGGUAGUUUAUGCGCCUACCAUGGUUGUAACGGGUAACGGAGAAUUAGGGUUCGACUCCGGAGAGGGAGCCUGAGAAAUGGCUACCACAUCUAAGGAAGGCAGCAGGCACGCAAAUUACCCACUCUUGGAAAGAGGAGGUAGUGACGAAGAAUAACAGGACGGUCUCUUACUGAGGCCCGUCACUGGAAUGAGUACAGUUUAAAUCCUUUAAUGAGGAUCUAUUAGAGGGCAAGUCUGGUGCCAGCAGCCGCGGUAAUUCCAGCUCUAAUAGCGUAUAUUAAAGUUGUUGCGUUUAAAAAGCUCGUAGUUGAAUCUGAGUCUUUUGGUUGGCGGUCCCUUAACAGGUGUACUGCUUUACCAGGACCAGUUAUCUGGUUUUCCCUUGAUGCUCUUCAUUGAGCGUCUUGGGUGACUGGAGAGUUUACUUUGAAAAAAUCAGAGUGCUCAAAGCAGGCUUAUAGUCUGAAUGGUGGUGCAUGGAAUAAUGGAAUAAGACUUCGGUUUUAUUUUCAUGGCUUUCGAAUCUCGAAGUAAUGAUUAAGAGGGACAGACGGGGGCAUUCGUAUUGCAGCGUUAGAGGUGAAAUUCUUGGAUCGUUGCAAGACGUCCU